GCGGGUAUGUUGAAAUUGGUAGACAUCGCUGUGUCAGACGCAGCGGCCUUUGAGGCGUAGAGGUUCGAGCCCUCUUACCCGCACCA
This 86-nucleotide transfer RNA is filed under the name Rhizobium sp. MHM7A. RNAcentral's name for it is "tRNA-Leu". Lineage: Bacteria; Pseudomonadati; Pseudomonadota; Alphaproteobacteria; Hyphomicrobiales; Rhizobiaceae. The record is from RNAcentral.